AUUGGUUGUAGCUCUGGGAGGUCGCGGUUCUUUUGAAGAUUCUGAUGAUAAUAAUGUUGCGGUAGUGGUAAUAAUAAAAUUGCGGUAAUGAGAGGUCAUGGUUCUUUUAAAGCUUUGCGAUGGUAACAAUGAACUCACACUAGAUAAUGCAGGGAAUUUUUUCAAUGAUAACCCGACUUCCGAUAAGUCAAAGGUGGCGAUGAUUGUUAUCACAUUCGAGAGAGGAUCAUGUAAAUACUACAUAUCGGCUCAUGGGUUGGACCUAUGG
Long non-coding RNA from Papaver somniferum (opium poppy), 268 nucleotides. RefSeq lists it as uncharacterized. NCBI's taxonomy places the organism in Eukaryota, Viridiplantae, Streptophyta, Magnoliopsida, Ranunculales, Papaveraceae. The record is from RefSeq and is a predicted model, not a curated record. The transcript has 3 exons.